GAUGAACGCUGGCGGCGUGCCUAAUACAUGCAAGUCGAGCGAACGGACGAGAAGCUUGCUUCUCUGAUGUUAGCGGCGGACGGGUGAGUAACACGUGGAUAACCUACCUAUAAGACUGGGAUAACUUCGGGAAACCGGAGCUAAUACCGGAUAAUAUUUUGAACCGCAUGGUUCAAAAGUGAAAGACGGUCUUGCUGUCACUUAUAGAUGGAUCCGCGCUGCAUUAGCUAGUUGGUAAGGUAACGGCUUACCAAGGCAACGAUGAAUAGCCGACCUGAGGGGGUGAUCGGCCACACUGGAACUGAGACACGGUCCAGACUCCGACGGGAGGCAGCAGUAGGGAAUCUUCCGCAAUGGGCGAAAGCCUGACGGAGCAACGCCGAGUGAGUGAUGAAGGUCUUCGGAUCGUAAAACUCUGUUAUUAGGGAAGAACAUAUGUGUAAGUAACUGUGCACAUCUUGACGGUACCUAAUCAGAAAGCCACGGCUAACUACGUG
This 497-nucleotide ribosomal RNA is filed under the name uncultured bacterium. Its description in RNAcentral is "partial 16S ribosomal RNA". It matches the Rfam family "Bacterial small subunit ribosomal RNA", at positions 28 to 507 of the family's 1533-position model. The record is from RNAcentral.